This is a long non-coding RNA of Tachysurus fulvidraco (yellow catfish), 1010 nucleotides long. RefSeq lists it as uncharacterized. Lineage: Eukaryota; Metazoa; Chordata; Actinopteri; Siluriformes; Bagridae. The transcript is spliced from 3 exons. The record is from RefSeq and is a predicted model, not a curated record.
GUUGAUUAUGAUGAUGAUGAUGCUUAUCUUACAUCCAUGUCGACUGGCUGCUGUGUGAGCGUUGUGUUUUUCCAUAGCCAUUAAAGAGGCUUCCUGAGCGCGCCAGUGAGGCCAGCACAUAGCAAACCCGGAGGGAAAUAAGUGCUCUUUCACGUACUUUGACAAAAAGGUACGUUUUCAAUCUCGUUUGAUGACAUUCCACCUCAUGUGUGGCAAUACACACAAGAAGAAGAAGAAGAAGAAGAAGAAGAAGAAGAAGAAGAAGAAGAAGAAGAAGAAGAUUUAAUUGUAAACUAUUUUUAAUCUUUGAUUUUAUUAAUAAUAAAUAUUGGAAAGCAUGAUUAGUGUAUUGUACAUUUUGUUUUAUUUUAUAACAAUACUUUUGAGAUUGUUGUGAAUAAAAUUACUAUGCAAUUUAUCAUAUUGAUAAGAAAGAUAUGUAUAUACAUAAUAUACUGCUCUUAAAAUACUUGAUAGAGCAAUCUUAAAUGAAAGCAAAGAAUAAAAAUUUGGAAAUAAUUUUGUAGUUGUAAAAGUCAAUCUAUAAGACAAUGUUGCGGCAUUGGUCGCUUUUGUGAACUGUAUUAUGAAACAUUGUUAUUUGUUUGUUGUUGUUUUUUUUGUUGUUGUUGUUUUUUUAAGUGGCUAGAUUUUAGCCGUGUUCUCUCACCAAACUGACAUCUAUCCAGUGUGCCUAAUGGAAAUUUAUGUUUGGUGCAUGUAACAUCUUAAAGACAUUUAUAAAUCACAGCGGGGUAAUCGGAAAUUACAUCAGCAUUUUAUUAAAUUUUAAUAUCAUGAAAGAUCACACAAAUAACUGCUCAUCGCCAGUAGAGUGUAUAUUUACAACAUUUCAUGACAUCCACAGUAUAGGCAGUAAGCUAUAUUGCUCUAAAACAAUAGGUAUUGGGGCUACAGUGAAAGACAAAAUGUAGAUAUAAGUUUUUCUUUGAGCUUUUAUUUUGUCUCAUCGGCAUAUUACACCGACAUAAAAUCUAAAUCCAGUCUCC